RNAcentral lists this transfer-messenger RNA (358 nucleotides) under Gammaproteobacteria bacterium. It matches the Rfam family "transfer-messenger RNA". From Rfam's summary of the family: Bacterial tmRNA, also known as 10Sa RNA or SsrA, is named for its dual tRNA and mRNA-like properties. Its role is to liberate the mRNA from a stalled ribosome. The record is from RNAcentral. Lineage: Bacteria; Pseudomonadati; Pseudomonadota; Gammaproteobacteria.
GGGGGUGACCAGGGCUCGACGCGGGUCACGAAGCCAUCGGAGCAUGCCGAGGGGCAGCGACCUCGUUAAUCCACCUGCAACGCAAUAGUUGCCAACGACGACAACUACGCGCUGGCCGCCUAAUCCCGGUCAGCCCUCUCUUCCGGCUCGCCUUUAGGCCGGUUUUUUGAGAGGUCAUCCAUAAAGGCUCGCGUAUCGGGCAUGUCCGUCGCCCGGGGCGCUAAAACCUAUCGGACUCGCCGGCGCGCGCGUUUGUUCGCCGACUUGCGCGGCGGUUAACUCAAAGGCGAACUAUGCAUGUAGUGGCCGAUGUGUGUAGGUCUUGCGGACGCGGGUUCGAUUCCCGCCACCUCCACCA